Long non-coding RNA from Oreochromis niloticus (Nile tilapia), 5286 nucleotides. RefSeq lists it as uncharacterized. The record is from RefSeq and is a predicted model, not a curated record. NCBI's taxonomy places the organism in Eukaryota, Metazoa, Chordata, Actinopteri, Cichliformes, Cichlidae. The transcript is spliced from 3 exons.
UAUUUUUUUUUUUUUUUUUUUUUUAAAUCCAGGGCCUCUGUAGCUUAACUGAAUAUCUUUAUUUAAAUUCCUACACCAAUACAGUGCAUGUAACAUCUGGGCAGUUGAGCAGUUCAGAUGAACAGAUGUUCUGCGGAAAGAUAGCUCUAUCCCAACAAUGGUACACACUGUACAGACAGCAAUCACACCUACAUAAGAAUUCAAAUCUUAAAACCUUCACAACACCUCUUAGAUUCUUUGUCUCCAUUAAGAAAAAAAGCUUCCUGUCGGAGGACUUUUCCCUCUCCUUCCUUCCUUCGUACAGAGAGGUAGUGAUGCAGUACUAGAGGACAGCUCUAGGGCAAUUACUCUCCCAGUCACUCUGCCCUGACAUGACACCUCAUGCGCAGAGCAGCAAAAGCUCAACAAAGUUCAGCGGCUUAGAGAAACACAACAUAAAAAUGCUUAAAAUCUCACCCAGUCCAGCCCAGAUACUUCACAAACACAUCCAGUCUUCACAUCUCAGCGCCCAAAAACUUAAACCCUUUCGUGCAUGCAAGCAGAACAACUCCAUGCUCAAAUUAAACUUGGCUAGGGGUGAGGGGGUGGUAUACCUUCAGAUGCUUAGCCUCAUUGUGCACGAGGCUGUUUGCUGAUGCCAAGGUGAGCGGCAAGCUCAAUGUCUACAUUUGACAAAUCCGCUAAUGACAAAUGUCCUCUUUCUAAAGUGCCCACAGACACAUUAGCAGAUCUUUGAUUUGCCAUAGAAAAGGUCACAGUACACUAAUUCAAAACCAGUUAACUAUCGCAGGACGAGGGCUCCAACUGUGACUGAACACAGGUAUGCAGAGUUGACUCUGCUGCACUCAGAAGCCUACGACAACCCAGACAGAGGCGGCAAAAGCAAGUUAAAGUUCCAAUCAUCUGCUGUCUGCCUUAGUGCUGCUAAUAGCAAAAUGUUUUCUGAGCAGUCUGUGAAAACAUUGCUGUAUCUUCUUUUUAACUGUAUUUUUUUGAACAGUAAGACUGGUCCCCUCUCUUUGGAUCUGAAUGUGAGGGGUUAACAGGGAAAUUAAGUUUGCUACUGUGGAAGGAACGUGAUGCCCCUUGUCCCCUACCCCACCCAGCGUGCACCAACUUGGGCUGUCGUGCACCCCUUCGACUCCCCCUGCCAUUGAGUUCUGCAUCAGGGGGCACCACUCUGCCAAGGCUGGCUGGUCACAUGACCGACACAAAGGCUUAUGGGUGGGCAGUCUCAACCAUCAAUCACGUGAUUCUGCUGGGUGUGGGUGGCAGGCGAGAGGAGAGGGACAGCGAAUGGGAAACGAUGGUGGGGGAUGGGCGAGUCGGUAUGGGGUGAGGAGGGUUGUUAACUAUCGUUGAGGAAGCACUGAGGUGUUUCAGUGAGGAAUUUUCCUCCCCGAUACCCCCCUCCAACUAGCCUGCCCAACCCUGCCUUCCCCCGCGCUUCAAAGCCCCCUUCUAGCUCCAAACUACAAUCACAGUCCUUCCCUCUCCUCCCUCCCUCCCUGCUGCACCGCAAAAGCCCAGAACAUUCAGCCAGCGGACAUAACCUGGAGUCCCGCUUCAGUGCCUGCAUGCAGCAUGCACGCCCGUGCAGUCAGCAGGCAUCUGCAAAAUAAUCACUAACACUAAGACACCCAGCAAGACACAAUGUCAGAGCUGCUAAGUAUGUAAUCCUAUUUCCACGACUGAUCAAAAGCUGCAAACACUGAGUGACAGACAGCAACUACCAAACUUUACACAUCACACUGCGAUGGGCCUGUGAAAAAUCAAAAACCACAUCUGUGUGAACACAACUCCAGAUAAGCGCUGGGCCUCAGCGAAUGUGAAAGCAACCAGCAGAGACGCAGAGGCCUCUCUCACUCUCUUUCACACACACAAACGUGAGCACACAGGUGAGCACUGAAACAGCACAAGCCCGAGCUAUAAUCGGCGAGUCGAAAUGGGCAGCUCAUGCCAGGAUCAGAUGAGCUCUCUGUUGACUCAUGGGUGUGAGCGCAUCAGCUGAAAACUUUUCAUUUGAAUGCCGCACAUGCGUUGACUGACCAUGCAGGGGACGGUGGGUUUCUGUCUGUUAUAUGUGUGUGUCAGCAUUUGCAUGUGUUGGCUUCCUGUGAGAUUGAGAGUAGAGGGGGUGGGGGGUAGGAGUGGGGUGCGUGUGAGCUCUUGGUGAGUGUGUGUAUGUGGCGUGCGGGGGAGGCUGGCUGCAUGCCUCUGUGUGAGGCUUGUUUACCGAGGUAGUCAGGCUGCAAUUUUUCCUGUGUGUGAGAGUCAGAGAGCUCUCCCAGUGACACACAAAGACAUUUUUUUUGACCUCUUGGUUCAUAACCUAUAUUAUUCUAUGUCUCAUCAUUGGCUCAGCAUGGCGUGACCUUCUUUCAUCCGGUGGCCUGACUCUCAUCUAGGCUCGGGAUGUAUCCUCUGAGCACAGACCAAUAAUAGCUCUCUCUUGCACGCACACACACACCUUCGUAUAGCUUCACACAAACUAAACUACUCAUCUCGUCACCUCACUGAGAAUGCAGGUGUAACACUGAUGUGUGCAUGAAACAAAUGUUCUCCCAGUAGGAUGACGAAAAGGUGUACAGCACAGGCAGCUUUCUCCUAGUUUCCUCGCUCUUCCUCGUCUUCUUCACCCUCACUCCCCCUCCCUUUCUCCAACAGCCUCUGCACCCUCUGCUUCCCCUCCCUCCGCUUCUUCCUCUCAGAGCAAGUUUGGCCCAGGGAGACAGGUCGGCAGCGCCACUGGUGUGUUACUGUCCCCAUGGCAACCACCUCCUACCCCCUCUUUCUCUCUCCUACCAGCUCAUUUCUCUGAAGUACACGCAUGUGGGUAAACACGCACACGUCUCCUAUGCCAUCCAGUCUCUGGCUCUAGCGGGGCUUGUUUGUUCCACACGCCCCUGUCAGUGGUAUUUGGAGAGUCCCUGCCCUGCUCCUAUUUCAGUGCCUCCCUCACGCGGUGCUCAUGUCUCUCUGCUAGGUGUGGUCGCUGUCGCCAAGGCACACUACUGGCCAAAGCUGAUGGCGUCUCUUCCUGUUAACUCAGUGUCUGUGAGUCUUGGUUCAGGCAUCUGCCCAGGCUACUGCUCUGCGGCUCCUGUGUUUCGGCCUACAGGGGCCUAAAGUCACGCAGGGCUCCUGUAGUCACUGUAGGCAAUGCAGCCAUGAGCACAUAAACAGGCCUGGCCUAUCUGCCAGAUGCUAUCCUUUCAGGAGAUGACAACCUCUCACCCCUGUGCGCUUUCCCCAAGCCCGCCCUCAUCCAGCACGGCUGUCUGUGCAUUAAAGCAAAAAAAAAAAAAUCCUACGCCGUGUUUUCUUCUGCCUCAAAACAAACAAACAAACAAAACAAAAAAACGCCUUAAGCAGCUAACCUCCUCUCGUCAAUCAUUUUCAGGGUCUUGUUCGCUCAUACACCCCUGCUCUCGAACAACCCACCACUAGAAAUGCUCACAGGUUCUCUGCAGCCCAACUUCUUUCCACUCCCUCUUCGGCUCGCACACAAUGCAGGCAACAAUCAGAGUGCCUCUGAGCCUCAGUGACAGCGCAGUGUCAUUUUCAUGUGAUCCUCAGUCUCAGGUCAAGGGAGCGUGUGGCUGUGUGGGUUGUGCACGGCUGCAUUGCUGUGGCCGCUGCCGGUGCAUGCGUUAAAAUUGGGUUGCUGAGAGGGGAGGGAGAGAAAAAUGGCGGAGCACCAUGCCUCUGUGCUGUCCAACCUAAAAUGGCUGACAUCACAAGCUGUUAACCAGCCAAGCAGAGCCAAGAGGCUGCUGCCGCUGCUGACCCAGACCUGCUCGCUGUGGAUGUGCGAGUGGCUUGCUCUGCUCUUCCCCAAGACUGUGAAAAGGCUCUUGAGUAGCAGAUGAUUCCUGUUUUUGAUUUUUUCUUUUUGUGGCCAUACUUGGUAGAGAUCUGUAAAUAAACUGUCUUACAUGGGUCUGCAGGCGCAGAUGUGAUGGAAAGUCAUUACCUACAGACUGACACACUCCAAGAAUUGUUCAGCCUCAUUAAAUCAUCAGCACAACAUUUAAUACUUAACAAGGGUUGCAAGUAAAGCAUUUAAAAAGUUGUCUAAAAUAUGCAAAGGCACCAUCGGAUUUUAAUAAGCGACGCACUGAAUAAUCCUUCCACACAAAGCCACUCAACCUGUGUCAGCUACCAACCUAAAUCUGAGGAAGAGAAAGGGAGGAGAAAGGAGGGAGGGAAACAGGGCCCAGGAGGUGGAGGUGGUAGUGAUGAUGAUGGCAGAAGAGGAGGGGGGGCAGAGUGUACUAUUGACUGAAAUCUACAGCCAUCAGCACACCAGCACAAAGAAAUACAGAAAGCUAGUAACAACAAUAACAAUACUAAUCAUCACCUAUAGCUCCCCUCACAGCUGAUCCACGUGUGAUCUGAGCAGCAGUGUGGAAAACCUGGCCUGUUUCUAAAAGUGUAAAAAGGUGAGCUGGAUUAAGCUAAGUGUCCGUGCCUGGGACUCACGUGGACAUCAGACACAAAUUAGCGGUGUGGGAAAUCUUUGCUCUAAUCCCUGCAGUCACACUCACUCAUGACAACAGUGAAAUACAAGUAAGACAAGUGGCUGCUAGAGAACAACAAACCCAGCUGGUGGAAGAAAAAAAAGUGUCAUUUUCAUUUUAAAACAAAGGUCCACACACAUGGAUCUUUCAAGCUAAAUUUUAAAAAAUGCAUUAAAUAGAUGGUAGAUAUAUGAUGCAAGUGAUUGGGACUUUUUAAAGUGACUCCCAAACUUCUUCAUUCAUAUCACGGAUUGACGGAUUGGAAGAAAUUUUGGAAAUUCAGCGCUUUGUUUACAGGACAUAUUACAGGAUUUUUUUUUCCUGGUAGGUGGGUGGGGGCUUCAGUGCACCCUGACAACAUCUAAUUGGCGCUAAUUUGGUGAUUAAUCGGCGAUAUUCCGCGAAAAUAGGAGGUAUAAUAAGCGGCUGCGCUGCAAUGUUUCGGUCCCUGAGCGCAGCAGCGUCAGAUAUUUCCGAAAAAUGAUGCGUGUUCAUCUUCCGCUCAAGUUAGGCGGAGUGAGCCCCAACUUAAAGGGCUUGUCUGCAUUAUAGGUUGGCUGUCGCCAUUUUAAGCAGGCGACAUGCAGCUGGCCAGCGCCGCUGAGCCACAAGCCCGUAAAGCAGGCAGUGAAAGGGGAGGAAAAUACGACGGACGUACCGAGGGAAGAGGCAGACACGUGACGCCGACGUCACUGACGGUGGAAUUGGCGUGAGAGCUCGAGCUCCGCCGAGCACAGAGCAUGAAGUGACUCACAUAUCCCGU